Molecule: transfer RNA, 63 nt
Filed under: Symplanella unipuncta
Lineage: Eukaryota; Metazoa; Arthropoda; Insecta; Hemiptera; Caliscelidae
Description: tRNA-Leu
Source: RNAcentral
GUUGGAUUGGCAGAAUAAGUGCUUUAAAUUUAGAAUUUAAAAAUGUAAAUUUUACAUUCAAUA